Long non-coding RNA from Pseudopipra pipra, 3231 nucleotides. RefSeq lists it as uncharacterized. Lineage: Eukaryota; Metazoa; Chordata; Aves; Passeriformes; Pipridae. The record is from RefSeq and is a predicted model, not a curated record. The transcript has 2 exons.
AUCUCUGACGUUUAUCUCUCGGUAUCUUUCCGUAAGAAAAAUCUCUUAAAUAAGAGGGAUUGCAGAUUUAAAAGGUGUUUUUCAUUAUCAUGUAACUGAAGGAUAGAAUUUUUGCUAACAGUGGGUAGUUAGUGGAUCUCUGUAGUUAAUAGGGAGAGUAUUUGUGUUGUGGUUUGUUUGGGGGUUCGGGUUUUUUUGGGGGUACUGGGUGCAGGUACGUGCAAACAAGAAUUGGUCCCUCCUGAAGGCCCCUAGUGUUUCUGUAAUGGAAAUUGCAGAGUCUGUGAAACCAAAAAAAAAAAAAAGUCUGUCUUCUUGUUUCCCUUUUUCUUCAUCCCCACCACAUUUUGAUAGGAGUACUGUCCAUCCCAUUUCCAGAGCAUGCAUUAAAUUUCUGAAAUAGAUCAAGUGAAGUUUUCAAACUGUCUUAUACUACAGAUAAUGCAGCAUGUCUGAGUUGAACGCACGACUUCCAUUUUGCUUGGUGAACUCUAAAGCCUGGUCUUGCAUCACAGGAGCUCUACUGUCAAGGACUAUAUCCCGUGUAUAUUACAUACACAUAUAUUUAUGCAUGAAGUGCUACACUUUUUUCAUACUGAUGUGUUCAUUGAGCUGUUUCAGUCUCUGUUAGGCUAGUUUGAAAGGAAAUUUUCAAAGAGAGAAGGUGGAAUGUAUUGUAAUUUAACAAAAGUCUCUCACAGCUUGCCUAUUAAUAUUGGUACAUAAAGUUUGCUUUAACAAAUGUGACUUUUUUGGCCACGUUGUAAUGGCUGUUUAAUAUUUUAGGGAGAUAUUUACAUACCACACAUACGAGCAGGUUUUGUUUGGUUGGUUUUGGGUUUUUUUUCACUCAGGGAUAGGUGAGCAAUCUCUUACAGUUCAGAGUAAGGAAAUGUGCCCCUGCAAGGGACUGUCCUGCAUAUGCAGUGGUAGCAAACAAUUCCACACCUUCUACUAUUCAGCACUGCUUUGCAUAACACACUGCCUGUGGGUGGAUACAUAGAGGGAAAAGCCAUUCGUGUUCUGAGUCAGAAAGGGGAAGCAGGCCUGGUGCUCUCUCUUGUUUGCAGGGUGUUCAGAUCUGCUUGACCACAGUUACUUUCUAUAUAAAUAUACUACUGCUACAGGAGGCUCCUCAGGUGCUGAGAAUGCCCAGCAGAGGUGGGGGACAAUCAUAUCAUGAUAAUAUGUCAAGGGGAUUCAUAUCAUUACCUUCUGGCAUGUGUGGCUAGGAACAAAUGAGAGGGAAAUUAAAUUUUUAGUAUUUUAAUUUAAAAGGAAAUCAAUCACUUUGGUCUUCACAUCAGUAAAGAGAAAAGAAGGAGAUCUGUCUUUGCCUAGGAGGGCCAGCCAUAUUCAACAUAAAGACUGUUUUGUGCAUGAUUCCAAAAGGGGCAGGGCAAAAGCAGGGUAGCAGGUCCUUAAUCCCUCUGCUCAUCACUAGGUAGGCCUUCAUGAGAUAGUUGUCUGGGCAUUUUCACAUCUACAUCCUCUGGAGAGCACUCUGUAGUAUGGACCAACCAUAAAAGCCCACUCACAGAUCAGCUACUGCUCUUGACUCUCCUCAUUUCCAUGCACAGGAGUCUGGGAACACAGGUUUCUAAAUAGGAAAGCUGACACAAAGUUAAGGUGGAAGGCAAAAUGCAACAGCUGCUGUGGGGCUCUGCAGUUUGACAAGUCACUGACUACAUACAUAACAUUUAAAUAUUUAACUGGAUUUCUAAUAAAUAUCUAUGGUGAAACCAUGAUUUCCUUCUGUAGCUAGCUUUCUACAAGCUAAUGGGUGAUAAGUAAUCAGCUUUACCAGAUCAAAUUCUACACACCAUUUUCUUUUCUUAACACUUUGUUUAAUUAUAAAUGGUCUUAUAUUGAGUCUGUUUAUGCCAUUGCUUUUAUGGAUCAUCAGCAAGACCAUGAAAAUAUUAUAUGAGUAAUUUCCAUGUAUUUUGACUGAAAGCUACUUUUGUGUUCUCUGUUCACUCCUAUUUGAUCAGACAACCAGAUUAAAUUGAAUACCUUAUUUGCUUAAUAUUAUUUAUAAAAAAAAAAAAACAACCCUCACUAACUUGACCAUUCACAUUUAGUAAGGCCAUUCUUCUCUACAAAACCUAUUACUCAUUCUGUGCCCACUUGUGAACCCACAAAUUGGAGGCACACUGGACCUGGACCAAGUUAUAAAGAUCAUGUUACACAUACCUACCCUAAUUCCUAAACAGAACAAAGGUCUUUAGGAAAGUGCUGUGGUUUCCUGGAACAGUUAGAACAACAUAUGGAGCUGUAAGAAUAAUUUGUUUGCCGUGAUCUGAUUACUGUGUGAAAUAAGGUAUAAUAUAAUAUAAUAAACCCUGAGACUAGCUCAGUUGGUUACAGCAUGGUGCCAAUAACACCAUUGUGUGUUUGAUCCCUGUACAGGCCAUUCACUUAAGAGUUGGACUUGAUGAGCCCUUUGGGUCCCUCCCAACUCAGAUUGUUGGGAUUCCAUGAGUGUAUAACCCCACCUUUCUUUUAUGUGUAAGAACACCAGGUGGCUGAAAGUCUGACAUCUUGUUAUGAUACGGAACUUUACUCACUGUAUUUCUUGAACAAACAAUAGUGGAACUGCCAAUAGUGGAAUAAUACACGUUACUGAAGUUAGAAGUACUGUCUGCAUUUAAACAAUUGUACAAUCUCUAUGCUGCUGUUUGUGCUAACCAGAUCUGCUUGCAACAAAUACUUGUCUUAAAACAAGCCAUUGUGAACUUCCAGAUCAAUAUUCAGUGUGUGCCAAAAAAUUCAGUGAUACAUUUUGAAUGGCAGAAUAAGAAAUUAACUACUGAAUCUUGCUAAAAAAAUGUGAAAUUUAAAAUAACAUUUUUUAAAAGUUUGAAAUAAAGAGAAUUUUUUCAUUAUCAAAACUAAAAAAAAUAUUAAACGUCUUUGAUGGGAAGUAUCAGACAAAAUGUAUUAGGCGGUCCUUCUGGAAAUUCUGCAAGAAAAGCACUUGUCACAAUGUUUCUAUCCUGUUUACAGACCUAUCCCAAAACCCACUUCAAAACUGUCUGGGCUACAUCUAUGUUUCUGUGGAUGAAACAGUGCCCGGGACCAUUCAAAUCCUGCCCAUCAUAAUGACCUGGCCCAUGAAUCCACUUGUGAUAACCUUGACCAUCAACAAAAGGUCUUCAAUUCCUGCCUAGGAAACUGCAGAGAAUAUGUAUUGGAUGCUGACAGAAAAGGGAAAGUCUUUCUCUCAUA